Molecule: ribosomal RNA, 912 nt
Filed under: Proteus mirabilis
Lineage: Bacteria; Pseudomonadati; Pseudomonadota; Gammaproteobacteria; Enterobacterales; Morganellaceae
Description: partial 23S ribosomal RNA
Rfam family: Bacterial large subunit ribosomal RNA
Source: RNAcentral
GGUUAAGCGAAUAAGCGUACACGGUGGAUGCCUAGGCAAUCAGAGGCGAUGAAGGACGUGCUAAUCUGCGAAAAGCGUCGGUAAGGUGAUAUGAACCGUUAUACCCGACGAUAUCCGAAUGGGGAAACCCAGUAUCCAAUGGAUACUAUCAUUAACUGAAUCCAUAGGUUAAUGAGGCGAACCGGGAGAACUGAAACAUCUCAGUACCCCGAGGAAAAGAAAUCAACCGAGAUUCCCCUAGUAGCGGCGAGCGAACGGGGAGCAGCCCAGAGUCUUAAUCAAUAACAGUGUCAGGAGAACGGUCUGGAAAGUCCGGCAGUAAAGGGUGAUAGCCCCGUAUCUGAAGAUGCUGUUAUUGUGAACUCGACGAGUAGGGCGGGACACGUGUUAUCCUGUCUGAAUAUGGGGGGACCAUCCUCCAAGGCUAAAUACUCCUGAUUGACCGAUAGUGAACCAGUACCGUGAGGGAAAGGCGAAAAGAACCCCGGCGAGGGGAGUGAAAAAGAACCUGAAACCGUGUACGUACAAGCAGUAGGAGCCCCAUCACUCAAGUGCCUCGCACUGAGUGAUGCAAGAACAUCACCGAAAAUAGCGCCGAAUUUGCUAACAAGGUUGGUCGAUUUUUUCAAGCCGUCGCGCAGUGUACCUAGAAGUACACGAGCAACGGAAGUUAAAAAAUCGGGCAAGAUUGAACGCAAAGGCAAGCGGGACAUUUGAGGAUGGGGUGACUGCGUACCUUUUGUAUAAUGGGUCAGCGACUUAUAUUCUGUAGCAAGGUUAACCGCAUAGGGGAGCCGUAGGGAAACCGAGUCUUAACUGGGCGAAUGAGUUGCAGGGUAUAGACCCGAAACCCGGUGAUCUAUCCAUGGGCAGGUUGAAGGUUGGGUAACACUAACUGGAGGACCGAACCGA